This is a long non-coding RNA of Phyllostomus discolor (pale spear-nosed bat), 470 nucleotides long. RefSeq lists it as uncharacterized. The record is from RefSeq and is a predicted model, not a curated record. Lineage: Eukaryota; Metazoa; Chordata; Mammalia; Chiroptera; Phyllostomidae. The transcript is spliced from 3 exons.
AUUAGAAGCCAGAUCUGGGAAGGGAGGAGCCUUCUAACAUCCUGGAGUUAGCAAUAAAAUUGAAGGAUCACUUAAGUGUGCUCUGACUCUCUCCUAAAGAAGAAAAAACCUCAUACGUUGUCCUGGUGCCCCAUGAUACAUCUUGGACAAAAUAAGUCUUUAGUUGCCUCCAACUGGUCUAAAUGCCAACUUGGUAACCCUGGAAAUCAGAGGGGAUUGAAAUUCUGCCAUUCUCAGUCAUGAUAUUUUGAGAUCCAGCAGCAAAUCAGUAGUUGAACAUCACCAUCUGCUCAAUCCCCAGGACCUGGGAUCUGAGGUGGAGUCCAACAAUUACUAAUAAGACAGAACUUCCCACCUGCCCGGGAGUGCAUAGUUCAGGUACUACAAGUACACUGAACCUACGACAUUACCCUCCCCUGCCCGUGCCUUCCUGAACUGAAUAAACUGAGCAAAAACAUGUUGGAGUCACA